This is a non-coding RNA of Tetranychus urticae (two-spotted spider mite), 754 nucleotides long. NCBI's taxonomy places the organism in Eukaryota, Metazoa, Arthropoda, Arachnida, Trombidiformes, Tetranychidae. The record is from RefSeq and is a predicted model, not a curated record.
GAAAUCAACUAAUGCUCUAGCCUGGUAUUUGUCUGGCGGAACAGUUCGUGCAAAAAAUUCAUACCUCUUCUUGUCAGAGAGGGCAGUUGAUGUGGAUGCAUAAGAUAUCUGUAAAAUCAAGUAAAAUGUCUUUUUUGAUCAAAUUUCAAAAAUAUUUCAUCUCUCGCUUUUUAUCAAAUUAUCAUCAUCAUCAAAUUGUGAUUGAAUUUUGGUUAUGGCAAGAAAAGGAAAAGUAAAGCUGCCUAAAAAAACGUUUCUCCUCUGCUUUCCUUAUUAAAUUACCUUUUACACUCUUUGAUUGAUUGGAGUGAAAAUUGAUUUUUCAUUUUCAUUGAUUGGGUAAACAAGGAAUCAAGUUAAUCAAGCUUUUCAACAAUGAUAAUCAUUUUUGACAGUAAAGCUUAUCAACAAUUAACCAGAAAAGAGGCGAAACAAAACUCCCAGUCAACAGGAAUACAAAAUCAAAGCAUUGGAUCUGGAAAUGUUGAAAAAUGAUUGAACAAUCUGAAUGGGUGUCAAGAAUGAAGCUUGAAAGCAGAAAGGAAAAGGAAAAAAAUCUCUUCAAAUGGCUUUCCUGGCAUCAUCACAUUAUUGUAUUUAUUCAACAUUCAAAUUACUAAUGUAUCAAAGUAAUCGUCAGUAAUCAGUUUCAGUUAAACUGCUCAAGGCAAAUGAAAUUGAGAAAAUGAAAGCUAGGGAAAAACAGGUUCAAUUCAAUGUAUUAUCUGAUGAAUAAAUGAAAAAAACUUUUGUA